RNAcentral lists this transfer RNA (85 nucleotides) under Bacteriovorax sp. DB6_IX. It matches the Rfam family "tRNA". Rfam says of the family: Transfer RNA (tRNA) molecules are approximately 80 nucleotides in length. Their secondary structure includes four short double-helical elements and three loops (D, anti-codon, and T loops). The record is from Rfam by way of RNAcentral. Lineage: Bacteria; Pseudomonadati; Bdellovibrionota; Bacteriovoracia; Bacteriovoracales; Bacteriovoracaceae.
GGUUCGGUGUUGGAAUUGGUAGACAAUGCGGAUUUAAAAUCCGUUGGGCAUUAUGCCCGUGCGGGUUCAAGUCCCGCCCGAACCA